RNAcentral lists this ribosomal RNA (721 nucleotides) under uncultured fungus. RNAcentral describes it as "eukaryotic LSU rRNA". The stretch from base 290 to 443 matches the Rfam family "5.8S ribosomal RNA". The record is from RNAcentral. Lineage: Eukaryota; Fungi.
CUUGGUCAUUUAGAGGAAGUAAAAGUCGUAACAAGGUUUCCGUAGGUGAACCUGCGGAAGGAUCAUUAUCGUGCAAACAAGGGGACGUUACGGGGGGCUGUCGCUGACCAUCUAAAGGUCGUGCACGCCCUCUUAGCGUUCUCAUUUACACAUCCAUCUCACCCUUUGUGCAUCACCGCGUGGGCCCCCCUUUUGAUUUUAAAAAGGUUGGCCUGCGUUUUCCACAUAAACCCCUUUUGUUGUAGUGAAUGUCUUUUUUUACUCUUGCGGUCACACGCAAUAUUAACACAACUUUCAACAACGGAUCUCUUGGCUCUCGCAUCGAUGAAGAACGCAGCGAAAUGCGAUACGUAAUGUGAAUUGCAGAAUUCAGUGAAUCAUCGAAUCUUUGAACGCACCUUGCACCCCUUGGUAUUCCGAGGGGUACACCCGUUUGAGUGUCGUGAAAUUCUCAACCUCCCCAAUUUUUAUUGGGGGAAGGCUUGGACUUUGGAGGCAAUUAUGCUGGUUUCCCUUUUUGAAGCCAGCUCCUCUUAAAUGAAUUAGUGGGGUCCCUUCUUUGCCGGUCCCUCGACGUGAUAAGAUUUCUCUACGUCCGAGGUUUGGCUCACUUGUAGGCCCGCUUCUAACCGUCUCUCUCCUUAAGAGACAUGUUUGAACCCUUUGACCUCAAAUCGGGUGAGACUACCCGCUGAACUUAAGCAUAUCAAUAAGCGGAGGA